UCUGGCGUCCUUCGGGCGUCCGAGUUGUAAUCUAUAGAAGUGUUUUCCGUGCCGGACCAUGUCCAAGUCCCUUGGAACAGGGUAUCAAAGAGGGUGACAAUCCCGUACUUGACAUGACCACCGGUGCUCUGUGAUACACUUUCUACGAGUCGAGUUGUUUGGGAAUGCAGCUCAAAAUGGGUGGUAAAUUCCAUCUAAAGCUAAAUAUUGGCGAGAGACCGAUAGCGAACAAGUACCGUGAGGGAAAGAUGAAAAGCACUUUGGAAAGAGAGUUAAACAGUACGUGAAAUUGUUGAAAGGGAAACGAUUGAAGUCAGUCGUGUUCUUUGGACUCAGCCGGUUCUUCCGGUCUAUUUCCUUUGAACGGGUCAACAUCAGUUUUGUCCGGUGGAUAAAGGCAGGAAGAAAGUGGCUCCCUCGGGAGUGUUAUAGCUUUCUGUCACAUACACUGGAGGAGACUGAGGACUGCAGCUCGC
RNAcentral lists this ribosomal RNA (476 nucleotides) under Vanrija musci. RNAcentral describes it as "partial large subunit ribosomal RNA". It matches the Rfam family "Eukaryotic large subunit ribosomal RNA", at positions 121 to 603 of the family's 3401-position model. The record is from RNAcentral. Lineage: Eukaryota; Fungi; Basidiomycota; Tremellomycetes; Trichosporonales; Trichosporonaceae.